Molecule: ribosomal RNA, 274 nt
Filed under: uncultured Propionibacterium sp.
Lineage: Bacteria; Bacillati; Actinomycetota; Actinomycetes; Propionibacteriales; Propionibacteriaceae
Description: partial 16S ribosomal RNA
Rfam family: Bacterial small subunit ribosomal RNA
Source: RNAcentral
UGGGGAAUAUUGCACAAUGGGCGGAAGCCUGAUGCAGCAACGCCGCGUGCGGGAUCACGGCCUUCGGGUUGUAAACCGCUUUCGCCUGUGACGAAGCGUGAGUCACGGUACUGGGUAAAGAAGCACCGGCUAACUACGUGCCAGCAGCCGCGGUCAUACGUAGGGUGCGAGCGUUGUCCGGAUUUAUUGGGCGUAAAGGGCUCGUACGUGGUUGAUCGCGUCGGAAGUGUAAUCUUGGGGCUUAACCCUGAGCGUGCUUUCGAUACGGGUUCAC